GGGGGAAAGGUUUACCCCAAAUUGAUAUUAUUAUUGAUAUUAUUAUAGUAAAUAGUGACGGGGCGGAAAAAUGUGGAUAUUAUUAGGGUGUGCCCAGGCACACCCAGUGCGCACGCCUAUGAUAGGCAACCUUCGGCACUCCAGAUGUUUUGGGCUACAUCCCCCAUAAUGCUCUUACACCUAUAAUGCUGGCAAAGCAUCAUGGGAGGUGUGGUCCAAAACAUCUGGAGUGUCGAAGGUUGCCUAUGCCUGGCCUAGAGGGAUAUUGGCUACACCUCACUGACAAGGCCCAAAAAAGGCCGAAACGAUCAUCUGGGGUUGCUGUAUGGCUCGUGCUGAGGGAACUUGCUGGCAUUUCGGAUCUGGACUGCCCGUAUGGGUGGGACCAGU
Molecule: non-coding RNA, 390 nt
Organism: Pelobates cultripes (western spadefoot toad)
Lineage: Eukaryota; Metazoa; Chordata; Amphibia; Anura; Pelobatidae
Source: the annotation of a GenBank genome assembly